CUGUUGUGAUUAUCGGAGGGAAGUGGAGCCAGUGCAAUUUGUCCAUGUUUUACAAAUCACCAUCUGGCAGGGAUAUGGCAACAUGUGAAAUCUUCACAGGACUCUUGUUUUUCUACUAUCUGCUGGAUAACUAAGGAGAUCACCAGACUGCUGGGAUGCCUGCCAGAUGGUAAGCAGGUAAGUGACCAAACUUGAAAGGAGAGAUGAGAUAGAAGGCCUGAGCAGGACAAUGACCAUAGAAGAUAUUAGAAGCAGUGUUCACUCCAAAAAAUGUCAGACACAGUAUGAUGUCCAUCUCUCAGAGCACGUUCUGGAGGUCUAUUCUCCUUACCUGCCUCUGUAAACCUGGGACCAUAUGAUUUGUAAGUAAAAUUUCUUCACAUCCUGUGUGUCCUGAUAUCUGUAUCCCUUAGUGUUUCAUCUUUCGUGUAAUUUACAACGCCAAUGCUCCCAUGCCUUCUUAUUUGAUACAUAUUCCUCCCACAAGAAAAACUC
Heterocephalus glaber (naked mole-rat) is the source of this 495-nucleotide long non-coding RNA. RefSeq lists it as uncharacterized. The record is from RefSeq and is a predicted model, not a curated record. Lineage: Eukaryota; Metazoa; Chordata; Mammalia; Rodentia; Bathyergidae.